This 204-nucleotide unclassified non-coding RNA is filed under the name Hevea brasiliensis (rubber tree). Lineage: Eukaryota; Viridiplantae; Streptophyta; Magnoliopsida; Malpighiales; Euphorbiaceae. The record is from RNAcentral.
ACUUUGCACCUUUGAAGAAACAACAAGAAGAGUAAGUAAGGGCAGCCCCAGAAAUAGAGAAUCCCGGCUUUGGACACAACUAAACACAGCUUUGUAGAUGCACAGGUGGCAGUGAAUUACAGACACAGAAAGGCAUCAUUCAUUGGGUAGUAAAAGCAAAAUCUCGUGAAGAGAUGAUGAUGAUGAUGGGUUAUUCUCCAAGUC